Peromyscus maniculatus bairdii (prairie deer mouse) is the source of this 1496-nucleotide non-coding RNA. The record is from RefSeq and is a predicted model, not a curated record. NCBI's taxonomy places the organism in Eukaryota, Metazoa, Chordata, Mammalia, Rodentia, Cricetidae.
GGCAAGAAAGCACAUUCCAGGAACAAUUCCAUGUUUUUGAGGAAACUAAGGUCACAAAACUCUUGUCUUGUUUUCUCCCAGUUCAUGUCAGUAUUGCACCCACGGGCAUGUCUUUCCAGGUGGCUUGUUGUUGUAGUCCACAGGGUUCACAGCUAGGUAGGACUAGUGACAACUUUUCUUCCCUAGCAGCUGACACAACGCCUUCUAAUACUGCGAAUGAGGCUUCCAGGUCAGUGUAAGCUGGAUCCAAGUAUGUAGUGUCUUCAGCAAUAAGGUCUUCCUUGAGUUCCGGUGGAUACCCAUUUCUUGGCAACAGUUUCUAUUGCUUUGAGAAACAGGACCUCCCUGACAGACAGCUCACAGGGAAGCAUCCCACACCUGGCAGGAGAUUUUUUGUUGAUAGCCUAUGGCAUCAGGACAAAGUAGGAUAAUGAUUUCUUUUUGGACUGCCUGUCUUAGAAUCACGGCUUAAAGUGAAAAUUCCCUGGCCCCCAGCAGGCCCAAUCAACCCAAGUUUCUAUGGGUGAUGUCAAGGACUUUGGUAAUAAACACCAGUGAAAUCUGAAAGCUUUCACGAUAGAGCGGGAAGAUUAUGCAGGAAGUCUGGUUAACUUACAGGCACAUUACUACGUCCAUAUGUCAGCGCGGGGAUCAGUUUUGUCGAACUUUUCAAAGUGCAAGGGCUAGCACUGGGAUUCAUAACCAGUAACCCUCUGUGAUGUCAGCAAGGUGGAAACGAAGACAAAAGAUGUUUUGAAGAUGUUGUUUUCCUCCACAGCCAUUCCAGCCUCUCGGGGAAGAAUGAACGAAGCUGGUCUUUGAACAAAGGAAAGGAAACCUUGGACCUGAAGGGCAAACAUCUGUGUGCUGUACCAUGUGGGAUGAAGGUGGUCGUUUCCUGACGACCCAGCCUGCAGAGGAUGAGGCCAUCUCAGCACUGGGAUGGACUGCUAUGCAGAUGGUGGCUCCCCAUAAUAUCAUGGGACUUCCUCCAUCUCUCUAUCCUGGUUCUAUGUAGAGCUGUACCUACGUCCUGGAGCAGCCAGAGGUGCCACUGAAGUGUCUGAUAAAGGCCCUGUGAUGCUUCAAUCAAACUUGGUUUCCCCCUUUCUAACUCUCUCUCCAAACACCAGACAUUUAUAGCGUUGGAGGAGGAGAAAGUCAGUGUACCAAGCUAGUGAAACUUUGAAUUCCUCAGUGCUGCUGCUGGCAGAAAACUUGACACAUGCUGAUCUUGCUAACCUUUUAGUGCCGGGCAGCUAUCGUUGGGGAGAGCCUCAUCACGAAGCUGGCCUUCUACAGCUUGGUCUACACAGAAGUACCAGGUGAGUUGAUCUCAGCUUUCAGAAGACUGAAACUAAGCGGAAGGAGCACGCACUGGAGACACAGCAACCCAAAUGCAUAGCCAUUUUUCCUGAAAAACACAAAAUGCAGCUUUCUCUGUUUUGUUCAUGGAUGAUCCAGAAUUCCUGAACAUAAUAGGUGUGCAGUAAAUG